Molecule: ribosomal RNA, 971 nt
Filed under: Microbacterium sediminis
Lineage: Bacteria; Bacillati; Actinomycetota; Actinomycetes; Micrococcales; Microbacteriaceae
Description: bacterial SSU rRNA
Rfam family: Bacterial small subunit ribosomal RNA
Source: RNAcentral
GAAAAAGCGCCGGCUAACUACGUGCCAGCAGCCGCGGUAAUACGUAGGGCGCAAGCGUUAUCCGGAAUUAUUGGGCGUAAAGAGCUCGUAGGCGGUUUGUCGCGUCUGCUGUGAAAACUGGAGGCUCAACCUCCAGCCUGCAGUGGGUACGGGCAGACUAGAGUGCGGUAGGGGAGAUUGGAAUUCCUGGUGUAGCGGUGGAAUGCGCAGAUAUCAGGAGGAACACCGAUGGCGAAGGCAGAUCUCUGGGCCGUAACUGACGCUGAGGAGCGAAAGGGUGGGGAGCAAACAGGCUUAGAUACCCUGGUAGUCCACCCCGUAAACGUUGGGAACUAGUUGUGGGGGCCUUUCCACGGUCUCCGUGACGCAGCUAACGCAUUAAGUUCCCCGCCUGGGGAGUACGGCCGCAAGGCUAAAACUCAAAGGAAUUGACGGGGACCCGCACAAGCGGCGGAGCAUGCGGAUUAAUUCGAUGCAACGCGAAGAACCUUACCAAGGCUUGACAUAUACGGGAACGGGCUAGAAAUAGUCAACUCUUUGGACACUCGUAUACAGGUGGUGCAUGGUUGUCGUCAGCUCGUGUCGUGAGAUGUUGGGUUAAGUCCCGCAACGAGCGCAACCCUCGUUCUCUGUUGCCAGCACGUUAUGGUGGGAACUCAGGGGAUACUGCCGGGGUCAACUCGGAGGAAGGKGGGGAUGACGUCAAAUCAUCAUGCCCCUUAUGUCUUGGGCUUCACGCAUGCUACAAUGGCCGGUACAAAGGGCUGCAAUACCGUGAGGUGGAGCGAAUCCCAAAAAGCCGGUCCCAGUUCGGAUUGAGGUCUGCAACUCGACCUCAUGAAGUCGGAGUCGCUAGUAAUCGCAGAUCAGCAACGCUGCGGUGAAUACGUUCCCGGGUCUUGUACACACCGCCCGUCAAGUCAUGAAAGUCGGUAACACCUGAAGCCGGUGGCCUAACCCUUGUGGAGGGA